AUUGCACAAUGGGGGAAACCCUGAUGCAGCGACGCCGCGUGAAGGAAGAAGUAUCUCGGUAUGUAAACUUCUAUCAGCAGGGAAGCAAUGACGGUACCUGACUAAGAAGCCCCGGCUAACUACGUGCCAGCAGCCGCGGUAAUA
This 144-nucleotide ribosomal RNA is filed under the name uncultured Bacillota bacterium. RNAcentral describes it as "uncultured Firmicutes bacterium partial 16S ribosomal RNA". It matches the Rfam family "Bacterial small subunit ribosomal RNA", at positions 363 to 525 of the family's 1533-position model. Lineage: Bacteria; Bacillati; Bacillota. The record is from RNAcentral.